UACGUAGGGCCCGAGCGUUGUCCGGAAUUACUGGGCGUAAAGAGCUCGUAGGUGGUUUGUCGCGUUGUUCGUGAAAACUCACAGCUCAACUGUGGGCGUGCGGGCGAUACGGGCAGACUAGAGUACUGCAGGGGAGACUGGAAUUCCUGGUGUAGCGGUGGAAUGCGCAGAUAUCAGGAGGAACACCGGUGGCGAAGGCGGUUCUCUGGGCAUUACCUGACGCUGAGGAGCGAAAGUGUGGGGAGCGAACAGG
This 253-nucleotide ribosomal RNA is filed under the name uncultured bacterium. Its description in RNAcentral is "partial 16S ribosomal RNA". It matches the Rfam family "Bacterial small subunit ribosomal RNA", at positions 524 to 776 of the family's 1533-position model. The record is from RNAcentral.